Molecule: ribosomal RNA, 2278 nt
Filed under: human oral metagenome
Description: bacterial LSU rRNA
Rfam family: Bacterial large subunit ribosomal RNA
Source: RNAcentral
UAGGGGUGAAAGGCCAAUCAAACUCCGUGAUAGCUGGUUCUCCCCGAAAUGCAUUUAGGUGCAGCGUUGUGUGGUUCCUGUUGGAGGUAGAGCUACUGGAUGGCCGAUGGGCCCUGUGGGUUACUGACGUCAGCCAAACUCCGAAUGCCAAUAGGGUUGAGCAUGGCAGUGAGACUGCGGGGGAUAAGCUUCGUAGUCGAGAGGGAAACAGCCCAGAUCAUCAGCUAAGGCCCCUAAGUGUGCGCUAAGUGGGAAAGGAUGUGGAGUCGCGGUGACAACCAGGAGGUUGGCUUAGAAGCAGCCAUCCUUGAAAGAGUGCGUAAUAGCUCACUGGUCAAGUGAUUUCGCGCCGACAAUGUAGCGGGGCUUAAGCGUACCGCCGAAGCUGUGGCAGCAACACGUAUGCUGGCGUCAUUGAAUGAUUGUUGGUGUGUUGUUGGGUAGGGGAGCGUCCUGCAUGAGGUGAAGCCUGGGGGGAACCUCUGGUGGAUUGUGUGGGAGUGAGAAUGCAGGCAUGAGUAGCGAAUCUGCGGUGAGAAUCCGCAGCGCCGAUUGACUAAGGGUUCCAGGGCUAGGUUUAUCCGCCCUGGGUUAGUCGGGUCCUAAGGCGAGGCCGACAGGCGUAGUCGAUGGAUAACCAGUUGAUAUUCUGGUACCGCCUAGCAACCGUCCAAUACCGAGAUCAUCAUGCUAACCAAUUUUGCCGGCCAAUGCCUGUGUCUUUCGGGAUGCGGGUGGCGGUUGGUCUUGGGACCCGGUGGUGGAGGUAAGCGUAUUAACAGGGGUGACGCAGAAAGGUAGCUGCAGUGCGCCGGUGGUUUGGCGUAUUUAAGGUUGUGGCCCGUCUUCUAGGUAAAUCCGGGAGACUUGUGGGUGAGAACUGAUGAGGGACGCACGUGUGUGUGGACUUGUGGUGAUCCUAUGCUGCCGAGAAAAGCCUCGACGCGAGGGGGCAAGGCGCCCGUACCCUAAACCGACUCAGGUGGUCAGGUAGAGUAUACCGAGGCGUUCGAGUGAAUCAUGGUCAAGGAACUCGGCAAAAUUCCUCCGUAACUUCGGGAGAAGGAGGACCCUUUAGCUUCCCAGCGCCGCGCGUGCUGGUGGGGCCGGGGGGUCGCAGAGAAUAGGGAGAAGCGACUGUUUAUCAAAAACACAGGUGCGUGCGAAGCCGUAAGGCGAUGUAUACGCACUGACGCCUGCCCGGUGCUGGAAGGUUAAGAGGAACCGUCAACAUCCCUUGUGGGUGUGAAGCGGUGAAUUUAAGCCCCAGUAAACGGCGGUGGUAACUAUAACCAUCCUAAGGUAGCGAAAUUCCUUGUCGGGUAAGUUCCGACCUGCACGAAUGGCGUAACGACUUCCCCGCUGUCUCAACCAUGAGCUCGGCGAAAUUGCAGUACGAGUAAAGAUGCUCGUUUCGCGCAGAAGGACGGAAAGACCCCGGGACCUUUACUAUAGCUUGGUAUUGGUGUUCGCUUGUGCUUGUGUAGGAUAGGUGGGAGACUGUGAAGCUGCGGCGCCAGCCGUGGUGGAGUCGUCGUUGAAAUACCAUUCUGGUUCAAGCGGUCACCUCAACCUUGGCCCGUGAUCCGGGUUGGGGACAGUGCCUGGUGGGUAGUUUAACUGGGGCGGUUGCCUCCUAAAAUGUAACGGAGGCGCUCAAAGGUUCCCUCAGCCUGGUUGGUAAUCAGGUGGCGAGUGCAAGUGUACAAGGGAGCUUGACUGUGAGACCGACGGGUCGAGCAGGUGCGAAAGCAGGAACUAGUGAUCCGGCCAUGGCACGUGGGUGCGUGGUCGCUCAACGGAUAAAAGGUACCCCGGGGAUAACAGGCUGAUCUUGCCCAAGAGUCCAUAUCGACGGCAUGGUUUGGCACCUCGAUGUCGGCUCGUCGCAUCCUGGGGCUGGAGUCGGUCCCAAGGGUUGGGCUGUUCGCCCAUUAAAGCGGUACGCGAGCUGGGUUCAGAACGUCGUGAGACAGUUCGGUCCCUAUCCUCUGUGCGCGUAGGAAACUUGAAAAGGGCCGUCCCUAGUACGAGAGGACCGGGAUGGACGAACCUCUGGUGUGCCAGUUGUACCGCCAGGUGCAUGGCUGGUUGGCUACGUUCGGGAAAGAUAACCGCUGAAAGCAUCUAAGCGGGAAACUUGCUUUGAGAUGAGGUUUCCACACCCCCCUGUGGGGUGGAAGGCCCCCGGCAGACUACCGGGUUGAUAGGCCAGAGGUGGAAGCACCGCGAGGUGCUCGUGAGCCGACUGGUACUAAUGGGCCGACACUAAACACAC